RNAcentral lists this ribosomal RNA (3992 nucleotides) under Triticum aestivum (bread wheat). RNAcentral describes it as "partial small subunit ribosomal RNA". The record is from RNAcentral. Lineage: Eukaryota; Viridiplantae; Streptophyta; Magnoliopsida; Poales; Poaceae.
CGUCGCUAGGGGCACGUGUCGUGUCUGGCAACUGCUCGUUCGCGUAAGGGGGUGGGUAGAGACGAGCAGGCAAAUCGGCACGUCUAGCGCUCAAGAGCUGAGCCUCGUGGUUUUAGGUUUUGAAGGUCUCUGGCGCGGAGCGACGACAUAUCAUGACAUCACCUCACAGGAGACGAGGUGCAAGACUAGGCUGUUCGCUCGUUGAGACGUCGCCUCAGCCGGGUUUGUACAACGCGCCGGGCCGGGUAAGGCACGGCCGCUGGCGGCGGCGGCGGCCGCCGCCGCCCGUCGGAGACCACCACUGCGAGUUGACGGAGCUCCUGGGCAGCCACCUCGCCCUGCGCGACCGGCCGCGCCGCCGGCACCUCGUGCGUGGCGAGAGACGCGAGCGGAGCCCGGUGCAGCUCCGGCGGCGCCGGCACGAGGAGUGGAGAGAGCGGAAGGAGGGCGCGCGGCGCGUCGCGGCCGAGGCCGGCACCGUCGACGACGAGACGAACCCUAGGGGGCUGGCGCGGCGCCUGCGGCGUCGCCGGCGCCUCGAGCCGGAGGCAGAGCAGGUGCAGCUGCGGUUGGCGCGGCUCCUCUAGCGCCUGUGGCAGUACCGCGAGAAGGAGCCGGAGGAGGCGGCGUGGGUGGACGACAGGCCCGUGCGCAGGAGGAGGUGCGGCAGGCGGCCCACCGAGCCGAGGCAGGUCGGCGACACGGCGCCGUACGCCGCGACGGCACCCGAGCACGAUCCGUAGCAGCCGCAGUUGCGGCGGCGCGCUACAGAGCGGUGGGCGUCGGAGCGGAAGGCGUACUCGCACGAGAUGAAGCUAGGCGAGAUGCUCCCACGCCCGUUUUGUUUCGCCGGAAGGUAACAUAAAGGAAGAAGACGAUCUUCUUACCUAUGAGAGUUACUAAAUAAUCGUCGUUCACUGGAACAAAGUGAAGUGACACGAAAUUGUUUACUAUGUUGUUUGUAUUAAUCACGGCUCGCAGACGUCGUGUAUUUUGGACCUCGAAAGUAUCAGUUAUGGUCAUCGACGGUCGACUAUCUACUGACACGUGAGUUUGUUGAGAACGAGCUACCGUGAUAACGACCUACACGUAACCUACCGCGACUUCCAGGUGUUACCUACCUUCGUACCCAUGUGCUCUACGGCUUGCACAAUUAAGAAGGAGCUUCACGUCUGAUGUCACUUCUUCACACCUACCUUUAGUCUCUCUUUCGUUAGUGUUAUAAUGUUAGGAAAAAGAAACUACCGUAACAAGGUUUGUUACGAUAAAGACUACUUCUACUUCGUUAUUCACUACAACCUACACUUCUACUAGUCGAUAUAUUUGUCCGUUUACUUGUGAGAAACGCCCAGACGCUACCACUUGUUGUCUGUCUACUUUCGGUUGAUUGAGAUCUCACACUGUUCUCUUCUCGGUAGAGGUUCGGACUUCAAGGACUUCGAAGUCCCGUCAGGGUUUCAUAACCGAAUUCUAGCCUUCCUUCCGCAUCGUCUAAACCUUUCUUUCCCUUUUUCUCUGGACGCGCGGCGUCUAGUGUUGUCUUUUACCUACUUAACAGUUGACACCUCUCACCUUCAUUAAUAAGAAGUGCUUCUCUACUACUAUGACACUACUCACCGGCCCUGGUUCACAAUUCAAGGUCAAGUGCUAAACGAAGGGGGCUCCUUAGGUUUUUAUUCGAGUCCAGAAGACGACUUAGAGGUUACCUUUAUUAAAGACUUGUAUUCAACGGACGUCCCGAACCAUCUUUCGGAGGACUCUCCGAAUUUCUACCGAAACAGCAACGGGAUUCCUGUUCUCUAUUAAACCCAAAAGUACAAAGUUCUCUUUCUCAACGACCACCACCGACCAUAGAACUACAACACAGUUUACGAUGUUUCUCCCUAGGACGAAGAGUCAAGGAUUAGUGUAAAUUUUUGUUCCUAUGCUACCCUAACGCUAGAAAACAACGACCCCCGUUUGAUAACGUCCAUUAUUAUGGGAAAGGUCAAUCAUGAGCAAGAGACUUCUAUACCACUCUCCACUUAUAUUGUGAUCAACACUUUAAUUUCUAAUACGUGGCCACAAGAAGACACGUACUUGGAGAACCAUUAAAAAUCUACGUUACCGUAGAUACCAGUGCAGUAAAAAAUACGAAAUGGGUAACAGGGUAAAAAAACAAGACCAACUUUUGAUGGUUGAAUUAAGGUACUACACGAAUUUUAUUCAGGAUCACAUAGACCAUGAGGAGAAAGCAAGCUAGAUAAAAAAUCUCUUAAAUGAAACUUAUCAACACUUCACGAACGAGGUACGAGCUAAGGUAACGUCCUCGAAGCUCCUCAAAUAGUUAUCUUAGUGACUAAACAAGAAUGUAAGGUGCUAGGGACAUAUUAAAAGUCGUAACUUUCAUUUUACGAAAUACAUCUAACGGCUAAAUGAUACAAAUUGAGGGAAAAUUUGAACAAAAAUCCAAUUAUUCUUCCGCCUCGAGCAUAAACGGUCAGUACGAAAGCUAUAAACCCUCUCGACCUGCGACCUUCCCAGAAAUGACCUUACGACGUUUGACCAGUUGGUGUCUUUAGGAAACCAUACGGGUAAAUACUUAGUGGUAAAGUACGUGUACUGUCGUUAUAAAUUCUCAAUAUUCUACGUGUGGACAGGGGCAGUUACCAUUAUCGCUUAGAAAUAAAAAUAGUGUUUUGUCCUGGGUAAUUACAAGACCUGGUCCUUUAAAGGUGACGGUAACUGAUUGAGCUUUUAUUUGUCAAGACAACCAUCAUAGAACAAAGGACUACCAUCAAUUUUAACAGACGUCCGACAUAACCUCCAGAUAUAGCUCUAGGAGCGUCGCCACUCGCUUCUUCUACCGCAGUGGUCCACCGAGCUAACUAGUUUUAUUGGGUAGGUAGACGAAAUCCUCUUGUCUUUCGUUGACUGAGUAGUCACAACAUAAGACCGGCCGGACCCCCAAGUAAGUCAAAAGAGUAAAAACGACGGUUCACAAGUCAAAACCGGUAAGAUGGAUAACGUCUCUGGAACGUUUCGGUGACGCUUAACAAAGUAUCAAAGUGACGACAUCGGACAUGCUCAUAGUUCACAGCUGUUGUUCGCAUGACGAUAAAGGUCACCUCUUUUAUAGAUCAGAUAAAUGUCAAUGAUGAACAAUAGGAAGAGCUAGAGAAGGAAGGUGUCGAGGCCGGUCAACCAGGCCCGGAGCAGCUACGGCUCGUCGCUCGGAAGAAAGAGGCCCAGGGUCGAGCGGCUGUCGCAGGGCAUCCGCUACGGCUCGCGGCUGCACGGCUUCCUCUCCUCCUACCACUCGUCGACGUGGGUGCUGCCGUGGAGGCGCGGCGGGGGCGCGAACUCGCGCAGCAUGUGCAACUCCUCGCGGUGCGGGCUGCGGUAGCCCUGCGGGUGGCACUUGUCCUAGGCGGCCUCCUACGCCAGCUUGUGGUGGACGCCGUCGAGCAGCAGCGGCGCCGGCGGCGGCAGGAGGAGCGCCCGCCCGAGGUGCUCGCUGAGGAAGUCCUCGUCGUCGACGACGACGAGGAGGGCGAGGGCGUGGGCGACGACGACGGCGACGAAGAGGAACGCCGAGCCGAAGAACAACGAACACGACAGGCACCGACCGCACGGCUGCGGCGACGGCAACGGCCGGCGCACAUCGGCGGCUCGACCCCGAGCAGCAGCGAAGCUGCCCCGACGCAGUCCACGGCUCUCCUACCUGCACCACCGGGCCGACACGCAGGUACCUACUACCCAAAAACCCCACCCCACUCCCCCGACCUCUCGGCGAUGCACCUCGUUCCGCCGGUACGCGCGGCGGCCACCUAACGUCCUCUGCUGCUCGACGAGAGGGGAGAGCACCGUUAUUGGAAUAGCGGUACCCGUCACCAGUCACCACCGUGCAUUGACGUAAGAGCUACGCAAGGACCCAACCCACCGUGCACCCGGCCGGGGUCUUCUUUAUAGAGAAAGAACGCGGGACGAACUUUACCGCUCACGAUGGCAUG